This 301-nucleotide ribosomal RNA is filed under the name uncultured bacterium. RNAcentral's name for it is "partial 16S ribosomal RNA". It matches the Rfam family "Bacterial small subunit ribosomal RNA", at positions 509 to 807 of the family's 1533-position model. The record is from RNAcentral.
CAGCAGCCGCGGUAAUACGUAGGGUGCGAGCGUUAAUCGGAAUUACUGGGCGUAAAGCGUGCGCAGGCGGUUUUGUAAGACAGGCGUGGAAUCCCCGGGCUCAACCUGGGAAUGGCGCUUGUGACUGCAAAGCUAGAGUGCGGCAGAGGGGGAUGGAAUUCCGCGUGUAGCAGUGAAAUGCGUAGAUAUGCGGAGGAACACCGAUGGCGAAGGCAAUCCCCUGGGCCUGCACUGACGCUCAUGCACGAAAGCGUGGGGAGCAAACAGGAUUAGAUACCCCCGUAGUCCCUGUCUCUUAUAC